CGCAGCUGAAAAGCCAGAGCAAGCAGAGAAUCAGUUGAUUCAUUCUCGUAUUGGCCCCCUGGCCCUAGGGACCUCUCAAAAGAAGGAAGAAUCGCCGCCUGCUAAGAUUACUAGAGAUAGUUCAAAGAUAACAGUGGAGUAAGUCCAUGGUUUAAUGUCACAGGUUAUCAAAACAUCCUUUUCAAC
Molecule: long non-coding RNA, 186 nt
Organism: Hibiscus syriacus
Lineage: Eukaryota; Viridiplantae; Streptophyta; Magnoliopsida; Malvales; Malvaceae
Exons: 3
Source: RefSeq, a predicted model, not a curated record